RNAcentral lists this ribosomal RNA (491 nucleotides) under uncultured bacterium. Its description in RNAcentral is "partial 16S ribosomal RNA". It matches the Rfam family "Bacterial small subunit ribosomal RNA", at positions 28 to 506 of the family's 1533-position model. The record is from RNAcentral.
GGUGAACGCUGGCGGUAGGCCUAACACAUGCAAGUCGAACGGCAGCACAGUAAGAGCUUGCUCUUACGGGUGGCGAGUGGCGGACGGGUGAGGAAUACAUCGGAAUCUACUUUUUCGUGGGGGAUAACGUAGGGAAACUUACGCUAAUACCGCAUACGACCUACGGGUGAAAGCAGGGGAUCUUCGGACCUUGCGCGAUUGAAUGAGCCGAUGUCGGAUUAGCUAGUUGGCGGGGUAAAGGCCCACCAAGGCGACGAUCCGUAGCUGGUCUGAGGGGAUGAUCAGCCACACUGGAACUGAGACACGGUCCAGACUCCUACGGGAGGCAGCAGUGGGGAAUAUUGGACAGUGGGCGCAAGCCUGAUCCAGCCAUACCGCGUGGGUGAAGAAGGCCUUCGGGUUGUAAAGCCCUUUUGUUGGGAAAGAAAAGCAGCAGGUUAAUACCCCGCUGUUCUGACGGUACCCAAAGAAUAAGCACCGGCUAACUUCGU